AUUCAGCAACACAAACCGGAAGAACAUUUCCCCUAAUCAAAUAUCAAAAGCUAGGUUCUUGAUUUUCCGUACGAUAAGGAUCCUGAUUUGCAUAUCAAUAACCUCGCUCGGAUACCAAUUAUUAGGUCCAAAGUAUCGUAGAAGGGGGGUUGAAUACGAUACUCACUGUAAUUUAAAAUUCUUUCGAAUCUUGCGGAUAAACAAAUUGCAGUUCUGUAAUGGGUUUCGUGUUCCGGAUAUUUAUUGGGUCGGUUUCUGAGGAUAUGAAAAUAUUAAACCAACAAACAAUAUUUUCCGGGUCGGUUUCUGAGGAUAUGAAAAUAUUAAACCAACACACAAUAUUUUCCAAGGUAUAUCUGUAUAUUGAUAAAUACCUCGAAGGGUGCUAUAAAUCCAAACCCGAAGGUUGGCUACAAUGACUAUUGAUACAAACACUACAACCCCUAGCUUCUAAAAAUAUAUUUCUUUUGGUGUGCUAAGCUAAGGGGUUGUGUGGAGAGAGUUUGUACAAUAUGUG
RNAcentral lists this long non-coding RNA (517 nucleotides) under Daucus carota (carrot). Its description in RNAcentral is "long non-coding RNA (DCAR_LNC006333)". Lineage: Eukaryota; Viridiplantae; Streptophyta; Magnoliopsida; Apiales; Apiaceae. The record is from RNAcentral.